This is an unclassified non-coding RNA of 335 nucleotides. The stretch from base 1 to 71 matches the Rfam family "5.8S ribosomal RNA", at positions 84 to 154 of the family's 154-position model.
GUGAGUCAUCGAAUCUUUGAACGCACCUUGCACCCUUUGGCAUUCCGAAGGGUAUGCCCGUUUGAGUGUCAUUGUAAUCUCACACCUCUGGCCUUUUCGUCGGGGGAGGUGGACUUUGGAGGCCUGUCGCCGUCGAGGUGGCUCCUCUCGAAAGCAUUAGCGUGCUCCUGGUCGAGCGCAAACCGGUGUGAUAAGUGUUUCGCCGGGCCGUUUGACCGUCAGAGGCGCUCGCAAACCGUCCUUUGCCGGGACCGUCGCUCCGCGGCGAUUUGACAAUUUGACCUCAAAUCGGGUAGGACUACCCGCUGAACUUAAGCAUAUCAAUAAGCGGAGGA